This 301-nucleotide ribosomal RNA is filed under the name uncultured bacterium. Its description in RNAcentral is "partial 16S ribosomal RNA". It matches the Rfam family "Bacterial small subunit ribosomal RNA", at positions 509 to 807 of the family's 1533-position model. The record is from RNAcentral.
CAGUAGCCGCGGUAACACAGAGGGUGCAAGCGUUAAUCGGAUUUACUGGGCGUAAAGGGCGCGUAGGUGGUUAUUUAAGUGAGAUGUGAAAGCCCCGGGCUUAACCUGGGAACUGCAUCUUAUACUGGGUAACUGGAGUGCAGUAGAGGGUAGUGGAAUUUCCGGUGUAGCGGUGAAAUGCGUAGAUAUCGGAAGGAACACCAGUGGCGAAGGCGGCUCUCUGGUCUGUAACUGACGCUGAGGCUCGAAAGCGUGGGGAGCAAACAGGAUUAGAUACCCCUGUAGUCCCUGUCUCUUAUAC